CACGUAGGGCGCAAGCGUUGUCCGGAAUUAUUGGGCGUAAAGAGCUCGUAGGCGGUCUGUUGCGUCCGCUGUGAAAACUCGGGGCUUAACCCCGAGCCUGCAGUGGAUACGGGCAGACUAGAGGUAGGUAGGGGAGAAUGGAAUUCCCGGUGUAGCGGUGAAAUGCGCAGAUAUUCGGAGGAACACCAGUGGCGAAGGCGGCUCACUGGUCCAUUACUGACGCUGAGGUGCGAAAGCGUGGGGAGCAAACAGG
Molecule: ribosomal RNA, 253 nt
Filed under: uncultured bacterium
Lineage: Bacteria
Description: partial 16S ribosomal RNA
Rfam family: Bacterial small subunit ribosomal RNA
Source: RNAcentral